GUGUGGAGUACGGCCACCANGCGACGACGGGUAGCUGGUCUGAGAGGACUACCAGCCACACUGGAACUGAGAUACGGUCCAGACUCCUACGGGAGGCAGCAGUGGGGAAUAUUGCACAAUGGGCGAAAGCCUGAUGCAGCGACGCCGCGUGAGGGAUGAAGGCCUUCGGGUCGUAAACCUCUUUCGGCAGGGACGAAGCGAUCAGUGACGGUACCUGCAGAAGAAGCCCCGGCUAACUACGUGCCAGCAGCCGCGGUAAGACGUAGGGGGCGAGCGUUGUCCGGAUUCAUUGGGCGUAAAGCGCGCGUAGGCGGCUGCGCAAGUCGGUUGUGAAAUUCCGGGGCUCAACCCCGGAACUGCGUCCGAUACUGCGUGGCUAGAGGUAGGUAGGGGAGAUCGGAAUUCCUGGUGUANCGGUGAAAUGCGCANAUAUCANGAGGAACACCGGUGGCGAANGCGGAUCUCUGG
Molecule: ribosomal RNA, 468 nt
Filed under: uncultured Actinomycetes bacterium
Lineage: Bacteria; Bacillati; Actinomycetota; Actinomycetes
Description: bacterial SSU rRNA
Rfam family: Bacterial small subunit ribosomal RNA
Source: RNAcentral